UCUGCGUAGGUUGUUAAAUGGCGAGCAUGGCACGGACGCCGAGCUAGAUUAAAAUUUGGUGCGUGCGACAUUGCCGGCUGUAGCGGCUCGGGCAGUAUAUGCCCAUAAUGGUGCCGCGGACCGAAAUGCUGAGUUCGAAUCCUCUCGUCUCAGGGUCGACAAGAAGCAUAUCCUUGAAGGUGCUCUGGAUGAGCCGUGUGCAUCGGUUUGCUGGAUAUGGCAUCUCGCGCGCGCAC
RNAcentral lists this unclassified non-coding RNA (236 nucleotides) under Hevea brasiliensis (rubber tree). Lineage: Eukaryota; Viridiplantae; Streptophyta; Magnoliopsida; Malpighiales; Euphorbiaceae. The record is from RNAcentral.